GAUGAACGCUAGCGGCAGGCCUAACACAUGCAAGUCGAGGGGUAACAUAGAGUGCUUGCACUCUGAUGACGACCGGCGCACGGGUGAGUAACGCGUAUACAAUCUGCCUCAUACUAGGGGAUAGCCCAGAGAAAUUUGGAUUAAUACCCUAUAGUAUCUUUUAGAGUCAUCUCUUUAAGAUUAAAGGUUACGGUAUGAGAUGAGUAUGCGUUCUAUUAGUUAGUAGGUGAGGUAACGGCUCACCUAGACCACGAUAGAUAGGGGCCCUGAGAGGGGGAUCCCCCACACUGGUACUGAGACACGGACCAGACUCCUACGGGAGGCAGCAGUGAGGAAUAUUAGACAAUGGGCGAAAGCCUGAUCUAGCCAUGCCGCGUGCAGGAUGACGGCCCUAUGGGUUGUAAACUGCUUUUAUACAGGAAGAAAAAACUCUACGUGUAGAGCCUUGACGGUACUGUAAGAAUAAGGAUCGGCUAACUCCGUGCCAGCAGCCGCGGUAAUACGGAGGAUCCAAGCGUUAUCCGGAAUUAUUGGGUUUAAAGGGUCCGUAGGUGGACAAUUAAGUCAGAGGUGAAAUCCUGCAGCUCAACUGUAGAAUUGCCUUUGAAACUGGUUGUCUUGAGUCAUUAUGAAGUGGUUAGAAUGUGUAGUGUAGCGGUGAAAUGCAUAGAUAUUACACAGAAUACCAAUUGCGAAGGCAGAUCACUAAUAAUGUACUGACACUGAUGGACGAAAGCGUGGGUAGCGAACAGGAUUAGAUACCCUGGUAGUCCACGCCGUAAACGAUGGUCACUAGCUGUUCGGACUUCGGUCUGAGUGGCUAAGCGAAAGUGAUAAGUGACCCACCUGGGGAGUACGUUCGCAAGAAUGAAACUCAAAGGAAUUGACGGGGGCCCGCACAAGCGGUGGAGCAUGUGGUUUAAUUCGAUGAUACGCGAGGAACCUUACCAGGGCUUAAAUGUAGAGUGACAGGUCUAGAGAUAGA
This 985-nucleotide ribosomal RNA is filed under the name uncultured bacterium. RNAcentral describes it as "bacterial SSU rRNA". It matches the Rfam family "Bacterial small subunit ribosomal RNA", at positions 28 to 1010 of the family's 1533-position model. The record is from RNAcentral.